Molecule: ribosomal RNA, 390 nt
Filed under: uncultured bacterium
Lineage: Bacteria
Description: bacterial SSU rRNA
Rfam family: Bacterial small subunit ribosomal RNA
Source: RNAcentral
GACGAACGCUGGCGGCGCGCCUAACACAUGCAAGUCGAACGGAGAAAUGCUAAGCUUGCUUUGCAUUUCUUAGUGGCGGACGGGUGAGUAACACGUGAGCAACCUGCCUUUGUGAGGGGAAUAACGUCUGGAAACGGACGCUAAUACCGCAUAACGUCAAGGAACCGCAUGGUUUUUUGACCAAAGAUUUUAUCGCACAAAGAUGGGCUCGCGGCUGAUUAGCUAGUUGGCGGGGUAACGGCCCACCAAGGCGACGAUCAGUAGCCGGACUGAGAGGUUGAUCGGCCACAUUGGGACUGAGACACGGCCCAGACUCCUACGGGAGGCAGCAGUGGGGGAUAUUGCACAAUGGGGGAAACCCUGAUGCAGCGACGCCGCGUGAGGGAAGAC